UACGUAGGGGGCAAGCGUUGUCCGGAUUUAUUGGGCGUAAAGCGCUCGCAGGUGGUUCGUUGCGUCGUGCGUGAAAGACCCCGGCUCAACUGGGGAGUGUCGUGCGAUACGGGCGAACUGGAGGCCAGUAGGGGGAUGCGGAAUUCCGGGUGUAGUGGUGGAAUGCGUAGAGAUCCGGAGGAACACCAGCGGCGAAGGCGGCAUCCUGGACUGGUCCUGACACUCAGGAGCGAAAGCGCGGGGAGCGAUCCGG
This 253-nucleotide ribosomal RNA is filed under the name uncultured bacterium. RNAcentral describes it as "partial 16S ribosomal RNA". It matches the Rfam family "Bacterial small subunit ribosomal RNA", at positions 524 to 776 of the family's 1533-position model. The record is from RNAcentral.